GGGAGUAUAGCUCAGUGGUAGAGCACAUGCUUAGCAUGCACAAGGUCCUGGGUUCAACCCCUAGUAUAUCCA
This 72-nucleotide transfer RNA is filed under the name Camelus bactrianus (Bactrian camel). It matches the Rfam family "tRNA". From Rfam's summary of the family: Transfer RNA (tRNA) molecules are approximately 80 nucleotides in length. Their secondary structure includes four short double-helical elements and three loops (D, anti-codon, and T loops). Further hydrogen bonds mediate the characteristic L-shaped molecular structure. tRNAs have two regions of fundamental functional importance: the anti-codon, which is responsible for specific mRNA codon recognition, and the 3' end, to which the tRNAs corresponding amino acid is attached (by aminoacyl-tRNA synthetases). tRNAs cope with the degeneracy of the genetic code in two manners: having more than one tRNA (with a specific anti-codon) for a particular amino acid; and 'wobble' base-pairing, i.e. permitting non-standard base-pairing at the 3rd anti-codon position. RNAcentral also lists the same sequence under 2 other names. The record is from Rfam by way of RNAcentral. Lineage: Eukaryota; Metazoa; Chordata; Mammalia; Artiodactyla; Camelidae.